ACAGCAGUCGCCGCGGUAAUACGUAGGUGGCAAGCGUUGUCCGGAAUUAUUGGGCGUAAAGGGCUCGCAGGCGGUUUCUUAAGUCUGAUGUGAAAGCCCCCGGCUCAACCGGAGAGGGUCAUUGGAAACUGGGAAACUUGAGUGCAGAGGAGGAGAGUGGAAUUCCACGUGUAGCGGUGAAAUGCGUAGAGAUGUGGAGGAACACCAGUGGCGAAGGCGACUCUCUGGUCUGUAACUGACGCUGAGGAGCGAAAGCGUGGGGAGCGAACAGGAUUAGAUACCCGCGUAGUCCCUGUCUCUUAUAC
RNAcentral lists this ribosomal RNA (305 nucleotides) under uncultured bacterium. RNAcentral describes it as "partial 16S ribosomal RNA". It matches the Rfam family "Bacterial small subunit ribosomal RNA", at positions 508 to 807 of the family's 1533-position model. The record is from RNAcentral.